RNAcentral lists this transfer RNA (89 nucleotides) under Gymnopilus junonius. RNAcentral's name for it is "tRNA-Tyr". It matches the Rfam family "tRNA". From Rfam's summary of the family: Transfer RNA (tRNA) molecules are approximately 80 nucleotides in length. Their secondary structure includes four short double-helical elements and three loops (D, anti-codon, and T loops). The record is from RNAcentral. Lineage: Eukaryota; Fungi; Basidiomycota; Agaricomycetes; Agaricales; Galerinaceae.
CCGACCUUAGCUCAGUUGGAAGUCAGCGCAAGACUGUAAAUGGUUGAACAUUAAUCUUGAGGUCGCCUGUUCGAACCAGGCAGGUCGGA